Molecule: ribosomal RNA, 542 nt
Filed under: Acanthocercus cyanogaster
Lineage: Eukaryota; Metazoa; Chordata; Lepidosauria; Squamata; Agamidae
Description: partial 16S ribosomal RNA
Rfam family: Bacterial large subunit ribosomal RNA
Source: RNAcentral
CAAAGGUAGCGUAAUCACUUGUUCCAUAAAUGGGGACCCGUAUGAACGGCCGCAUGAGAAAGAAACUGUCUCUUGAAGAUAACCUAUGAAACUGAUCUUCCUGUGAAAAAGCAGGCAUAACAAAGCAAGACAAAAAGACCCUGCGAAACUUAAAACUAAGCAUUAAACUUAUUAAUGCCUAACUUUGAGUUGGGGCAACUAUAGAUACACUAAACAUCUUAAACAAAUCUAAACCAACAAGUUAAAAUUACUAAAACUGAUCCGGCAAAGCCGAUUAAUGAACCAAGCUACUCCAGGGAUAACAGCGCUAAAUUCUUUAAGAGUCCACAUCAACAAGAAUUCUUACGACCUCGAUGUUGGAUCAGGGUACCCAAACAGUGCAGAAGCUGUUAAAGGUUCGUUUGUUCAACGACUAACCGGGAUAGUUUAACAAAACACUAGGUCGUGACCCUAAUAAUAGAACCAUGUUCUUCCAGGCCAAGAAGACUUCCAGAACCGCUAACUCUGAACCACUGAGCCUAGAACCUCAGACUUCUUACUUU